This 148-nucleotide small RNA is filed under the name Papio anubis (olive baboon). RNAcentral describes it as "Metazoan signal recognition particle RNA (ENSPANG00000038947.1)". It matches the Rfam family "Metazoan signal recognition particle RNA". From Rfam's summary of the family: The signal recognition particle (SRP) is a universally conserved ribonucleoprotein. The record is from Rfam by way of RNAcentral. Lineage: Eukaryota; Metazoa; Chordata; Mammalia; Primates; Cercopithecidae. RNAcentral also lists the same sequence under 1 other name.
GCUGGGCAUGGUGGCGCAUGCCUGUAUUCCCAGCUACUCAGGAGGCUGAGGCAGGAGAAUUGCUUGAACCAGGGAGGUGGAGGUUGCAGUGAGCCGAGAUUGCGCCACUGCACUCCAGCCUUGGUGACACAGCAAGACUCUGUCUCAA